UCUGGGUAUACACCGUGGCAUCACAAGGGCCACCCAGAACUGGCUCAACUCCCAUAAAGCCAAGUUCACCCAGCUCGUCCUGCUAGAGCACUUUUUCAAUGUGCUCCCCAAUGACAAGGUGACGACGCAUUCGUAUGUCAAUUCAUAUCAACUUUCGAUGCCAUUUACUGCGCCGACCAUGGUGACCACGGGUAAUGGGGAAUCAGGGUUCAAUUCCUUAGAGGGAGCCUGACAAAUGGCUGCCACAUGCAAGGAAGGCAGCAGGUGCGCAAAUGACCCACUCCCGACGCGGGGAGGUAAUGAAGA
Non-coding RNA from Pelobates cultripes (western spadefoot toad), 306 nucleotides. NCBI's taxonomy places the organism in Eukaryota, Metazoa, Chordata, Amphibia, Anura, Pelobatidae. The record is from the annotation of a GenBank genome assembly.